RNAcentral lists this ribosomal RNA (58 nucleotides) under Dictyosphaerium sp. CCAP 222/37. RNAcentral describes it as "partial 28S ribosomal RNA". Lineage: Eukaryota; Viridiplantae; Chlorophyta; Trebouxiophyceae; Chlorellales; Chlorellaceae. The record is from RNAcentral.
UCGACCUGAGCUCAGCAAGAACACCCGCUGAACUUAAGCAUAUCAAUAAGCGGAGGAA